Molecule: ribosomal RNA, 410 nt
Filed under: uncultured bacterium
Lineage: Bacteria
Description: bacterial SSU rRNA
Rfam family: Bacterial small subunit ribosomal RNA
Source: RNAcentral
AAUGGGCGCAAGCCUGAUCCAGCAAUGCCGCGUGUGUGAAGAAGGCCUGCGGGUUGUAAAGCACUUUCAGUGGGGAAGAACGGAUGCGGGCCAAUACCCCGGAUCACUGACGUUACCCACGGAAGAAGCACCAGCUAACUCCGUGCCAGCAGCCGCGGUAAUACGGAGGGUGCAAGCGUUAUCCGGAUUCACUGGGUUUAAAGGGUGCGUAGGUGGGUUGGUAAGUCAGUGGUGAAAUCCCCGAGCUUAACUUGGGAACUGCCAUUGAUACUAUCAGUCUUGAAUACCGUGGAGGUCAGCGGAAUAUGUCAUGUAGCGGUGAAAUGCUUAGAUAUGACAUAGAACACCAAUUGCGAAGGCAGCUGGCUACUCGAUUAUUGACACUGAGGCACGAAAGCGUGGGGAUCAAA